RNAcentral lists this ribosomal RNA (253 nucleotides) under uncultured bacterium. RNAcentral describes it as "partial 16S ribosomal RNA". It matches the Rfam family "Bacterial small subunit ribosomal RNA", at positions 524 to 776 of the family's 1533-position model. The record is from RNAcentral.
UACGUAGGGUGCGAGCGUUGUCCGGAAUUACUGGGCGUAAAGAGCUCGUAGGUGGUUUGUCGCGUUGUUCGUGAAAACUCACAGCUCAACUGUGGGCGUGCGGGCGAUACGGGCAGACUGGAGUACUGCAGGGGAGACUGGAAUUCCUGGUGUAGCGGUGAAAUGCGCAGAUAUCAGGAGGAACACCGGUGGCGAAGGCGGGUCUCUGGGCCGAAACUGACGCUGAGGAGCGAAAGCGUGGGGAGCAAACAGG